UUUACUUAAAGAGGUACACAUGAGUUUUGGGUAUCCAGGGAUGGAAUGUUAUAGUUUAGUCAAAGAAUGUCUCCCAAAAGCUUUAUGCACUCAUGCUGGGCCUUCUGGAAAGUGACUGAAUCAGGCUGUGAUAUAGCUGACUUGCUGUUAAGAGUAGCAUUUGCUCAGAAUAGGUGGACAUGGGUGGCAUGGCUUGGAAAGGCAUGUCUCCUUCCCCAGAUACUCCCCCGCUCCUCUCUGUCUCUCUCUGCUUCCUGGCUACUAUGAUUUGAGGAGCUUUCUUUUUCUAUGUCCCCCUGACAUGCCAUAUAUGCUUAGGGGCCAGGCAACCAUGAACUUUAGCUAUGAGCCAAAAGAAAGCUCUUUUUCUUUAAAUUUUAGUGUCAGAUAUUGCAUCUCAAUGAUAAGGAAGUUGACGAAGACACACUCCCAGCACUGUCACAGUGAUUCCACCAAGCCAAUCUAGCUUGUAAGGCAGCUACUCAGAGAGAGUAUAGGGCAAUGCAUUUGGGGUCCCAGUGAUGAGAAGUUUUAGGAGUUUCUGACCCCUGGAGAGGUAAAAAUUCAGACAGUAAUCCCUGCUUAAGAUGACUUCUGGUUAAAGCACCCAAGGGGUUUGCUGAGAAAUGAAUUCUUUUUCUCAAGCCAGGCCUUCUAUCUGUGAAAGUUGUAAGCCCAAAAGAGUUACAAAAUGUCCCAACAAGUAGGACUACAAAUAUCUUUAUGGAGAGUUUGCUGACAUUCUGUCCUUCACCUUCCCUCCUGAGCAAGGUAAACUCCCUCUCCCUGGCUGUGGUGUUGGGGUGGCAGGUGCCAGGAUAUUUUGUUUCUCAAGAUUUCUUUUCUGCUGUUGAAUUCCAGGGUUCUCCUACGGUCACUCGCCUCAAAGUGUUCAUACAACUGUUGUUUUGGUUCUUCUUUGUGCCAGAGCAGAGAAAGCUUCUGACUCGAUGAGCGACAAUAUACUGAAUAGUGAAAACAGAACUCAAUUCUCAUUCUUACUGCAAUCAUUUGAACAUUUCUCCACAAGAACCGCAUGUUGAAAACUUGGUCCUCGACUCAGUGCUACCGACGGAAGACCUAGCAGUCAGGAGGAGCACAUCCCAUGCUUCUUCAUUUAUGAUACAGGAAAAUGGCAACUGCGCCCCUGACAACCAACUGGUGAAGAAGAGAAGUCACGCAGCCCACCUUGGGGAAUGUAGGGCCUUAGUAGGACCCUUUCUCAAAAUAAAAAAAGCAUCAUUUUGCUUCAUUGUUUUCAGCUCAGACAUUUA
Molecule: long non-coding RNA, 1274 nt
Organism: Fukomys damarensis (Damara mole-rat)
Lineage: Eukaryota; Metazoa; Chordata; Mammalia; Rodentia; Bathyergidae
Exons: 3
Source: RefSeq, a predicted model, not a curated record